Molecule: transfer RNA, 64 nt
Filed under: Ictidomys tridecemlineatus (thirteen-lined ground squirrel)
Lineage: Eukaryota; Metazoa; Chordata; Mammalia; Rodentia; Sciuridae
Description: Spermophilus tridecemlineatus (thirteen-lined ground squirrel) tRNA
Rfam family: tRNA
About the family: Transfer RNA (tRNA) molecules are approximately 80 nucleotides in length. Their secondary structure includes four short double-helical elements and three loops (D, anti-codon, and T loops).
Source: Rfam by way of RNAcentral
GGUGGCUCAGUGGUAGAGCACUUGCCUAGAAUGUAUGAGGCACUGGGUUCGAUUCUCAGCACCA